RNAcentral lists this ribosomal RNA (674 nucleotides) under uncultured fungus. RNAcentral's name for it is "eukaryotic LSU rRNA". The stretch from base 261 to 411 matches the Rfam family "5.8S ribosomal RNA". Lineage: Eukaryota; Fungi. The record is from RNAcentral.
UAGUCAGCUCAACUUGGCUGCUGUUAACUAAACACUUGUGAACUGUAAUCUUAGACAGAGUCUUGGACUGCCGCUGUCUGUGCCACAGACAGUAGGCUGAUCAUUGGAGACUAGUCUAUAUCAUUGCCAGAGCAAUUUGGCAGUGGUUUAACUAGCGUCCUUUGAUGACUGACGCAAGUCAAAGUCCUUGGCUUCCGUCGCUGUAUUUGGCACUUAUUUUUUAAAUGUCUAAGGACCGUGACAAACUUUUAACGUAUUACAACCUUUAACAAUGGAUCUCUUGGCUCCUGCAACGAUGAAGAACGCAGCAAAAUGCGAUACGUAAUGUGAAUCGCAGUUCUCGUGAAUCAUCAAAUCUUUGAACGCACCUUGCACUUCCAUUUAACCGGAAGUAUAUCUGUUCGAGUAUUAUUAUACUCUCAUUUACAACACUUGUUGUAUUUGGACUUGAGUGUUCUGUCUGGCCGCUUUCGCAGACUGUCACUUUAAAUGAAAGAGUUUGAGAGCGUCUAAAGACAUCUCUGUUCCCUUGACUUGUUCAAAAUGAGCCUUGGGAACGUAGUCUUGUGCUGUGCCGAAGCAAACUCUAGGACCGAGGGGCAUAAAGGCCUUGAGCCUUUCACCUUUAAUCUCGAAUCAGAUAAGAUUACCCGCUGAACUUAAGCAUAUCAAUA